GCUGGGUGUGGUGGCAGGCACCUGUAAUCCCAGCUACUUGGGAGGCUGAGGCAGGAGAAUCACUUGAACCUGGGAGGUGGAGGUUGCAGUGAGCUGAGAUCACACCACUGCACUCCUGCCUGGGUGACAGAGUGAGACCCUGCCUUAA
This 148-nucleotide non-coding RNA is filed under the name Chlorocebus sabaeus (green monkey). Lineage: Eukaryota; Metazoa; Chordata; Mammalia; Primates; Cercopithecidae. The record is from Rfam by way of RNAcentral.